UCUUAUACAGUAGCAUAUAUCACACCGAUGCCAUAUCCCAAAUAUGGUCUUAUACGGAAAUCACUUGUCACUUGUAGCCGAAGCUACCACUAUUCACUGAUCAGGUAGCCGGAGCUACCAUUUUUCACUGAUCAGGUAACCGGAGCUACCACUUUUCACUGAUCAGGUAGCAGAAGCUACCACUUUUCACUGAUCAGGUAGCCGAAGCUACCACUUUUCACUGAUCAGGUAGCAGAAGCUACCACUUUUCACUUGUCAUUUGUCCUUGAUCAGAUAAGUGUAGCCGAAGCUAUCACUUAUCACUUUCUCUUGUCUUUGAUCAGAUAAGUGUAGCCGAAGCUAUCACUUAUCACUUGUUGCCAUGGUCCAACCAUGGUCUUUUCCUUCAAUUAAUCUUGUCACUGAACUGAAAUGCUCAAUUUGAUCAUUUAUUCAAUUUUCAUGCUUUUACAUUAUUCACGAUUUUAUCAUCAAUACAUAUGAAAUAACAC
RNAcentral lists this long non-coding RNA (491 nucleotides) under Gossypium barbadense (sea-island cotton). Its description in RNAcentral is "long non-coding RNA (GBAR_LNC005920)". Lineage: Eukaryota; Viridiplantae; Streptophyta; Magnoliopsida; Malvales; Malvaceae. The record is from RNAcentral.